Homo sapiens (human) is the source of this 1068-nucleotide long non-coding RNA. Ensembl annotates it as ERICH2 divergent transcript. Its record names the gene ERICH2-DT. NCBI's taxonomy places the organism in Eukaryota, Metazoa, Chordata, Mammalia, Primates, Hominidae. The record is from Ensembl.
GGAAACUGGGCGCACACACCCUCGGAUUGACGUGCGCACGCGCACCGGUUACCUUCAGGAGCGCCGAAGAAGGAAAGAAGGUUGGAAUGUCGGUGUCCAUACCUGAUUCUAAGCGAGGGAGAGGGAAGGGGGCGGGGUGGCCUCAGAGUUUUAAACUUGGGGAGUAAAAAGAAGUCUUGAGUUGGGAGAGAUGGGUGUCCCUGGUAGUGGAUGAACAAGUGUCCCCUGCAGGACUUAGUCCCCCAACCUGAGGUCGCCCCAAGAAGAUUAUGGGUCUCCGGGGGGAGUCCCUGGACGCCAGUUUUCCCAGAAGUCAGAUUCAAGUGAUUAGAACCAGAGACCCGGCUCUCCCCCAGCUAGAGCAGCCCAGGUUCCCUCUAGCGCCAGAGCUGCUGCUCUGCCACGCCGGCCAAUGGGAGGUAUUAGUGUUUAAGUAACUGCUUGGGUCACAGUAGGGGGUGGGGAGCUUUUCUGUUACAGAAUUCUAAAGGUCCCUCAAGCUUGGCUUCUAGGAAGGAAUUGGUUAUUUUUCUCCACUUGGGAUGCCGGAAGUAACUAGAAUCAAUUUGUUGCUAGGCAACGUGUUUUGAAGGACGCGUGUUUGUUGGACUCAAAUCUGGAUUCGACUUUCACAUGGUAGACACAUAAUAUCAGGUGUACUCCCUAUUUAAUCUCUGGAGUUGCUACCCGCUGAGGAUAUGUACCUUGGUAGAUGGUUGUGAAGCUAAAAUGACAUAAAAAUGUAUAAAGCUCUGACAUGUGGAAGAUGCUUAAUAAAUAACAAAUUUUAUUAUUAUUAUAAUAAAAAUAGAACCAGCUGGACCAUUUCCGGAACCAAGAGAAUACAGAGACGUGGCCAUUUUUUAAUUCUCUUAGUCAUCUGUUCACAUUCAUUCUUUAAAUCUCCUGUGAGCCCUUGAUGAUAGGUAGGAGGCAAAGGAAAAAUGCCAGAAUGGAAGUUUUUGAAAAGAACUCAAUGGAGUCAUUGACAAAUACAUCCCUAGUUUGAUAAGGACAUAGCAGGCCACUGCCUCCUCUAUUACAGGAACACCCUUACAUAGAAAAUGU